This 232-nucleotide long non-coding RNA is filed under the name Solanum tuberosum (potato). RNAcentral's name for it is "long non-coding RNA (STUB_LNC007407)". The record is from RNAcentral. Lineage: Eukaryota; Viridiplantae; Streptophyta; Magnoliopsida; Solanales; Solanaceae.
UUUUAUUUUGGACACCUCAUGUAGAGUCUCGUUGUGUCAUUUUGACAAUUUUUUAAUAUCAGCAAAAAUACAUAAUGUGUGUUACACUCGCAAAUGACGUGUAAAGUUGACGAAUUAAAUGACGAUAUUUGUCAUUUAUGUCAAAAGUAAUUUUUAUAUAAUUUAUUUUGAGUAAAAAUGAAAAUUGACAAAUGGAUUAACGACAAAUGACCCAAAUAAUUACAAAAUAAAA